AGUAACGCGUGAGGAACCUGCCUCAAAGAAGGGGGACGAACAGUUGGAAACGACUGCUAAUACCGCAUAAGCCCACGGUGCCGCAUGGCACAGAGGGGAAAGGAGCAAUCCGCUUUGAGAUGGCCUCGCGUCCGAUUAGCUAGUUGGUGAGGUAACGGCCCACCAAGGCAACGAUCGGUAGCCGGACUGAGAGGUUGAACGGCCACAUCGGGACUGAGACGCGGCCCAGACUCCUACGGGAGGCAGCAUG
RNAcentral lists this ribosomal RNA (250 nucleotides) under uncultured bacterium. RNAcentral describes it as "partial 16S ribosomal RNA". It matches the Rfam family "Bacterial small subunit ribosomal RNA", at positions 109 to 353 of the family's 1533-position model. The record is from RNAcentral.